This 350-nucleotide unclassified non-coding RNA is filed under the name soil metagenome. RNAcentral describes it as "partial contains 5.8S ribosomal RNA, internal transcribed spacer 2, and large subunit ribosomal RNA". The stretch from base 1 to 120 matches the Rfam family "5.8S ribosomal RNA", at positions 35 to 154 of the family's 154-position model. The record is from RNAcentral.
GAUGAAGAACGCAGCGAAACGCGAAAGGUAAUGCGAAUUGCAGAAUUCAGUGAAUCAUCGAGUCUUUGAACGCACAUUGCGCCCCCUGGUAUUCCGGGGGGCAUGCCUGUCCGAGCGUCAUUGCUGCCCUCAAGCACGGCUUGUGUGUUGGGCCCCCGCCCCCCGGUUCCCGGGGGGCGGGCCCGAAAGGCAGCGGCGGCACCGCGUCCGGUCCUCGAGCGUAUGGGGCUUCGUCACCCGCUCCGUAGGCCCGGCCGGCGCCCGCCGGCGACCCCCCCUCAAUCUUUCCAGGUUGACCUCGGAUCAGGUAGGGAUACCCGCUGAACUUAAGCAUAUCAAUAAGCGGAGGA